GACGAACGCUGGCGGCGUGCUUAACACAUGCAAGUCGAACGGAAAUGCCCUGCUUUUGUGGGGUGCUCGAGUGGCGAACGUGUGAGUAACACGUGAGUAACCUGCCCUUGACUUUGGGAUAACUUCAGGAAACUUGGGCUAAUACCGGAUAGGAGCUCCUGCUGCAUGGUGGGUGUUGGAAAGUUUCGGCGGUUGGGGAUGGACUCGCGGCUUAUCAGCUUGUUGGUGGGGUAGUGGCUUACCAAGGCUUUGACGGGUAGCCGGCCUGAGAGGGUGACCGGCCACAUUGGGACUGAGAUACGGCACAGACUCAUACGGGAGGCAGCAGUGGGGAAUAUUGCACAAUGGGCGGAAGCCUGAUGCAGCAACGCCGCGUGCGGGAUGACGGCCUUCGGGUUGGAAACCGCUUUCGCCUGUGACGAAGAGUGAGUGACGGUAAUGGGUAAAGAAGCACCGGCUAACUACGUG
Molecule: ribosomal RNA, 468 nt
Filed under: uncultured bacterium
Lineage: Bacteria
Description: partial 16S ribosomal RNA
Rfam family: Bacterial small subunit ribosomal RNA
Source: RNAcentral